RNAcentral lists this ribosomal RNA (404 nucleotides) under Fusobacteriota bacterium. RNAcentral describes it as "Fusobacteria bacterium partial 16S ribosomal RNA". It matches the Rfam family "Bacterial small subunit ribosomal RNA", at positions 355 to 776 of the family's 1533-position model. Lineage: Bacteria; Fusobacteriati; Fusobacteriota. The record is from RNAcentral.
UGGGGAAUAUUGCACAAUGGAGGGAACUCUGAUGCAGCGACGCCGCGUGAGUGAUGAAGGAAUUAGUUUCGUAAAACUCUGUUCUAUGGGAAGAAAAGGACUGUACCAUAGGAGAAAGCUCCGGCUAAAUACGUGCCAGCAGCCGCGGUAAUACGUAUGGAGCGAGCGUUGUCCGGAAUUAUUGGGCGUAAAGGGUGCGCAGGCGGCUUUACAAGUUGGAUGUGAAAUAUUGUGGCUCAACCACAAACGUGCAUCCAAAACUGCAAAGCUUGAGUUAAGGAGAGGUAAGUGGAAUUCCUGGUGUAGCGGUGGAAUGCGUAGAUAUCAGGAGGAAUACCGGUGGCGAAGGCGACUUACUGGACUUAAACUGACGCUCAGGCACGAAAGCGUGGGGAGCAAACAGG